CAGUGGAUAGGUUCAUAUCAAAACAAUACAAAGUGUUAUUUUGUAAACAUCAGCCUAUCAUUUGCAUCAUAACCAAAAAAUUGCAAUUUGUAUUGUUUUAAGUGUUCCUUGUUUGAUAUUAAUGUCUAUAUGAAUAUCAGGUAUUAUUCUAUAUUGGAAUUAUUUUAGUAGGUUUCUCUAUAUGAAUUGGAUUUUGAAUAAAAAAGCAUAUUCACCUGAGAAAGUGUUAUUGACCGCGCUAAACGUCACGCGCUUUUACAUGCAACGUUAUGGUAAAAUGUUUCGUGUAAAAAUUUGUUUUGGUAUAUUUUUGUCAUUAAGGAUGUACUUAGGUGAGGUUAGGUAAAAAUUCGGAAAUUAAUAAAAUUAAAAUUAAUACUAUAAGCUGGUAGAGCAUCAAUUAAGGAUAAAGAUAAGCUAAAAAUAUUGAUAGGUCAUGGACCUCCUUUUCGAGAUAUUUGAGAUUUAAAAUAUGGCGGGAAAAGGCUGACUCGGACUUUUACCUUAUAAUUGCAUUGGUAUUAUUUGGGUCUCAAAACAAAAGAAAGAAAAUAAAGAAUCUUCUAAAAUUUUGGUAAAUAACCUUUCAUGAGUAUUAAGUCUUAUAUGAAAAAAUAAAUUGGUGUUAUGGGGUAAAAUAUUUUACAUUGUAUUGGAUGGAAAAACACCAAGGAGUCCGAACAUUUGACACAAAUUCCAAAACCUCACCUAAGUACAUCCUUAAAUACAUUUUCUUUUCUCGGAAUAUGGAAUAAAACAAUUACUGUCUUUUGUUU
Molecule: long non-coding RNA, 776 nt
Filed under: Mytilus galloprovincialis (Mediterranean mussel)
Lineage: Eukaryota; Metazoa; Mollusca; Bivalvia; Mytilida; Mytilidae
Source: RNAcentral